AUUGAACGCUGGCGGCAUGCCUUACACAUGCAAGUCGAACGGUAACAGGUCUUCGGAUGCUGACGAGUGGCGAACGGGUGAGUAAUACAUCGGAACGUGCCCGAUUGUGGGGGAUAACGAGGCGAAAGCUUUGCUAAUACCGCAUACGAUCUACGGAUGAAAGCGGGGGAUCUUCGGACCUCGCGCGGACGGAGCGGCCGAUGGCAGAUUAGGUAGUUGGUGGGAUAAAAGCUUACCAAGCCGACGAUCUGUAGCUGGUCUGAGAGGAUGAUCAGCCACACUGGGACUGAGACACGGCCCAGACUCCUACGGGAGGCAGCAGUGGGGAAUUUUGGACAAUGGGCGAAAGCCUGAUCCAGCCAUGCCGCGUGCAGGAUGAAGGCCUUCGGGUUGUAAACUGCUUUUGUACGGAACGAAAAGCCUCUUUCUAAUAAAGAGGGGUCAUGACGGUACCGUAAGAAUAAGCACCGGCUAACUACGUG
This 482-nucleotide ribosomal RNA is filed under the name uncultured bacterium. RNAcentral's name for it is "partial 16S ribosomal RNA". It matches the Rfam family "Bacterial small subunit ribosomal RNA", at positions 30 to 507 of the family's 1533-position model. The record is from RNAcentral.